This 1202-nucleotide long non-coding RNA is filed under the name Callithrix jacchus (white-tufted-ear marmoset). RNAcentral describes it as "lncRNA (ENSCJAG00000078391.1)". The record is from RNAcentral. Lineage: Eukaryota; Metazoa; Chordata; Mammalia; Primates; Cebidae.
UGACGUAGCUGAUAAGAGAUAAUGAAAUUGAAGGAGUUGCCUAGAGAAGAGAGAAGCCGUUUUUCUCUGAGCUGGAGUAUGCUCCCUACAAGCUGAAGAUAAGAGAGCUGCAGGGAGGCCAGCUUAUAGGUCAAGAAGCAGGAAGAAAGGGCCUUAGGAUAAAUAGCCAGCUCCAGCUUAUCCUAGACAGCAAGGCUCCAUCCUAUUGUUGAUUCUGGGAGUAAAAUGGUUUCCCUGGUUACUGGAGCCUGUUUAUUCAGUCAGGCCAAAGAGGCAAGUAUGUUCACACCAUGAGAUGGACAAGCAGAAAUGACUCACUGUGUUUUCCAACUGUACUCAAGACCUGGCUCUAUACGCCCUCCUCCUCUGCUUGAGCAGAAGGCGAAAGAGGUUGUGGAGACUGUGGGAUUUGUUGAACAGGUGUCUCUGUCUCCCAGGCAUUCCAGUCACCGGUUGGAAAAGCGCUCGGAUUUGUGUGUUUGUGUGGAGACCCGCUGCGCCAGCUGAAAGAGCUGUGCUGGAGACUCGUGGUGCCUUUUCACCUGGGAAACUCCUGGUUGAGAUUAUUUGAAGCUGAGUUUCAGUCUCUGUGAAGGCUAGUCUACUCAGAUUGACCACUACUCCCAGGGAGCUGCCCUUCAGGAUCCCUGCUGAGAAUAGACUCUGAACACCUUAUGGUGCUGCUACUCAUGUGAGCUGGUUGAAAGUUUUGCUCAAUUUCUGGGCUUCUCAGCAUCCUCUUCUAGAACCAGCAUACAAUAGAGUGGGAAAGAGGUCCCAAGCCGACCUUACCUCUGUGGGUUUCUAUCCCAGAUUUCAGCUCUGUAAUUCUCCCCUAUCUUGUUGGCUCUCCAAAGCUCUCAAGGAGAAUUUAAAAAAAUUAUGUUCUAGCUGUUUAUUUGGGAAGGUUGUUCUGAAUGUCUCAGUUUGCCUUCAAUGAAAGUGCAGUUUUAUCUUACUGGAUUUUCCCAAAUGGUGGAGUAAGGAGUAUUAUUCCUUUGCUAGUGAGGAAAUCAGUCACAGAUGAGCCAAGUAAAUUGCUCAAAGUUACAUUUAGAAAGUGACAAACUUAGAAUUUGAAACUGUGUUUCUGUCUGUAAAAUUGAGGCUAUUUACAUUAGCUAAAAGCAAUUUUGGCUGAUUUCCUCAAAUGGAACACACCAUUAGCAGAUUUAUUAAUAACAAUAAUGCUUACAUUUCUC